AUAGAAACUAACAUUCUGAGAUUAGGAAAUAUGUUGAUUAGAAAGUGAGAAAAUACUUGCCUAAAUUUUGUUCCUUCUUUUUUUUCCCUCUGAUACUUGGAUACUUGGGCUGUUUAUUGGGGUCCCUUUCUCUCCAGCCCAUUUAGUGGAGCAAGGCUUUGCAAAGCCGGUCUCCUAGCAGCCGAAUGCAGAAGGCCCAUUCAUAUUACAAUGGAAGGAAAGGAAAGAAAGAGCUUGGUUUGUUUAAACUGCCUCUGUCUUCAUUCACAGCCUGAUGUCCGUGUGCAUUGUGAGUCCACAAUGGCACUAAAGGACUCAUUGUGGCCGAAAACAAAUCAAAAUAAAAUAAGGGAUGCUAAGAUAAAAGAGUCAUGCAACAAAAUUGCUUAAAAAAUCUAAGUCUUACAUCUGAGAUUUAUGUUACCUUUUGGCUGUGUGGCCUAUUGACCGGUAUUUAUAACAACCGCUAGAGUUUAAUAAACAAAAAGAUAAAUGGGAA
Molecule: long non-coding RNA, 499 nt
Filed under: Pongo abelii (Sumatran orangutan)
Lineage: Eukaryota; Metazoa; Chordata; Mammalia; Primates; Hominidae
Description: lincRNA
Source: RNAcentral